UAAGCUCACACAGUCUAUCAGACAAGCAGAAAGAAAGAAUGAUCUGUCAUAAAAUGAAUAACUUUGCCCAGUCCUUGAAUGUUAGCCAAUGUAAAUAAAACAGUUAUGAUUGACAAGCAUUACAAAGUAGCAACGAUGAGCAACACAUUCCAAAGUGUCUUCUUCACUCACUUAUAUUUUUAUUAUUUAAAAGCAAACCGAACGUCCUGUUGACUGUCAAGCCUGGAAGCAUUUUGGCAACAGCCUUCAUCAGGUAUUCUGACAGCAUCGCGAAAUAAUCCAGUAGUUCAGGAUCUCUGUACAUAAGAAUCAGAUUUUGAUUUAUUUGACUUUGACACAAGUGUGUUGUCAGGAGGCAGGACAGACACACGAUGGGUUAAAAGAAAAAGAUCUGGAGGAGCACAGCGAAAACAUCACUAGCAGAGGUCUGACAAACACUAAAUCUGUAGGAUGCCUCCUGCUGUUCUUCUCAUCGGCUGUCUACUCGCCACAAUCAGCUGUUUAACCACAGCUCAAACUGGAAUCGCUCCAUCUGGACUGGCUACAAAUACUACAACUACCACAUCAAUUAUCUCCUUACCUAUUACAAUACCACCUACACCAGCACUGACUACAACAAUGACUACAACUACAACACCGCCUACACCAGCACCAACUACAUCAUCAUCUUCACCAGCACUGGUUACAACUACAACAGCACGAACUUCAACGUCAUUUACACCACCAACUACUACAACUACAGUCCAUCCACCAGCAUCUCGCAUUAACACUGCAGAUCCUACCUUCGAUCCUGCCUUCGACUCCACUACAACUCCUACCUCCAACACCACUGCAGAUCCUACCUUCGAUCCUCCCUUCGACUCCACUACAACUCCUACCUCCAACACCACUACAGCUCCUACCUCCAACACCACUACAGCUCCUACCUCCAACACCACUACAGCUUCUACCUCCAACACCACUGCAGAUCCUCCCUUCGACCCUCCCUUUGACUCCACUACAGCUCCUACCUCCACCCCCACUACAGCUCCUGCCUCCAACACCACUGCAGAUCCUACCUUCGAUCCUCCCGUUGACUCCACUACAGCUCCUACCUCCGACUCCACUACCGCUUCUACCUCCAACACCACUGCAGAUCCUACCUUCGAUCCUCCCUCCGACUCCACUCCAGCUCCUACCUCCGACUCCACUACAGCUUCUACCUCCAACAUCACUGCAGAUCCUACCUUCGAUCCUCCCUUUGACCCCACUACAGCUCCUACCUCCGACUCCACUACAGCUUCUACCUCCAACACCACUACAGCUCCUACCUCCAACCCCACUACAGCUCCUACCUCCAACACCACUGCAGACCCCCCCUCCGAUCCUCCCUUCGACUCCACUACAACUCCUACCUCCAACACCACUACAACUCCUACCUCCAACACCACUACAGCUCCUACCUCCAACCCCACUGCAGACCCUACCUCCGAUCCUCCCUUCGACUCCACUACAGCUCCUCCCUCCACCACCACUACACCCCCUACCUUCGAUCCUCCCUUCGACUCCACUACAACUCCUCCCUCCAACGCCACUACAGCUCCUACCUCCACCCCCACUACAGCUUCUACCUCCAACACCACUGCAGAUCCUCCCUUCGACCCUCCCUUUGACUCCACUACAGCUCCUACCUCCAACUCCACUACAGCUCCUACCUCCAACACCACUACAACUCCUACCUUCGAUCCUCCCUUCGACUCCACUACCGCUCCUACCUCCGACUCCACUACAGCUUCUACCUCCAACAUCACUGCAGAUCCUACCUUCGAUCCUCCCUUUGACUCCACUACAGUUUCUACCUCCAACACCACUGCAGCUCCUACCUUCGAUCCUCCCUUUGACUCCACUACAGUUUCUACCUCCAACACCACUGCAGAUCCUACCUUCGCUCCUCCCUUCGACUCCACUACAGCUCCUACCUCCGCCUCCACUACAGCUUCUACCUCCAACACCACUACCGAUCCUACCUUCGAUCCUCCCUUCGACUCCACUACGGCCCCUACCUCCAACACCCCUACCCCUCCCACCUCCGAUCCGCCCUUCGACUCCACUACAGCUCCUACCUCCAACUCUACUGCAGCUCCACCCAAAGGUAAUUAGGGCCCAAGCAUUGCGAGGUCCGUAUUGAAACUGCUCCAAUUUAUUUAUCAUUGUGUGUGUGUAUAUAAAUGUGUAGGUCAAGCUUUACCAUCACUAUUGCAGCCGAACCUGAAAUCUCUAAAAUGUGUUUUGGCAUUUUCCAUGUUCUCACAGUACUCACUAUUCUCGAGAUGAAGGUGAAGACGCUGAAUGAAGAAGAGCGUCAGGCUGAACUGCUUGAGGUGAGAGGAGCAUGUUUGAUAAUUUCACUACAUGCUAAAUGUACUCUGAUGGAAAUCAACAGUUAUAACUAUGUAGAAGAAAGGAUACCCAUGUUUGGACAAACUAUAAAACAAAUCACUAACAUCAAGUUUCAGCCACAGUCAUUCUACAGUCAAGCUUAUAGUGAGCAGGUGUGGAGUCAUGUUCCUUUAAGGCCCUUUUUUGGCUUAAAUUACUUUUUUUAGCGUUUCUGUUCUGUGCCUGAUUAGAAAUCAUACAUUAUUGCUUGUUGUUCUUAACCAAAAAAUUACAUUCUAUGUGAAUUGGGACACAGCUUUGUGUGCUGCUUCUUCUGAACCUGCUGUUUUCUCACUUAGUCUUUUUUUUUUUCUCAGGUUGGCAAAGUGCUGGAGAGUUUCUUAAGAGCGAAUUAUACUGGCAACUUCUCUGUUAAAGUCACGAAAAUUAAAAAGUUAUCACCAUAGGACUGAGUCGGAAAUCUUUUUUUUUAUUUUUUUUACUUUAAAAAAAGUUUUCUAAAAAACUUUUACUGUUUUAGAUUAUACAUGUUGGCGGUUCAACAAAAUGCAUGUGUCUGUGUAUGUGUGAAACAAAUUAUGAAAUGAAUGUGUAAGGAAAGCCCAGAUUUAUUAUCUGUUCUCAUGAAAUUCAUUGUUCGUUCUUCAUUUGCGUGGAAGGAAAUCCGCUGCUGCUGUUUUGACAUUGUCUUCAUUUUUCUAUUUUUGAGAUUUUUGUAUGAGGAUUGCACUGAAAUUAUGAGGAAGAACUCUUGUGAACUCAGUAAGAAAAUAAAACAAGCAAAUGAUUAAAAUUGUUGGAUAUU
Cyprinus carpio (common carp) is the source of this 3184-nucleotide long non-coding RNA. The record is from Ensembl. NCBI's taxonomy places the organism in Eukaryota, Metazoa, Chordata, Actinopteri, Cypriniformes, Cyprinidae.